GAUGAACGCUGGCGGCGUGCCUAAUACAUGCAAGUCGAGCGAACGGACGAGAAGCUUGCUUCUCUGAUGUUAGCGGCGGACGGGUGAGUAACACGUGGAUAACCUACCUAUAAGACUGGGAUAACUUCGGGAAACCGGAGCUAGUACCGGAUAAUAUUUUGAACCGCAUGGUUCAAAAGUGAAAGACGGUCUUGCUGUCACUUAUAGAUGGAUCCGCGCUGCAUUAGCUAGUUGGUAAGGUAACGGCUUACCAAGGCAACGAUGCUUAGCCGACCUGGGAGGGGGAGCGGCCACACUGGAACUGAGACACGGUCCAGACUCCUACGGGAGGCAGCAGUAGGGAAUCUUCCGCAAUGGGCGAAAGCCUGACGGAGCAACGCCGCGUGAGUGAUGAAGGUCUUCGGAUCGUAAAACUCUGUUAUUAGGGAAGAACAGAUGUGUAAGUAACUGUGCACAUCUUGACGGUACCUAAUCAGAAAGCCACGGCUAACUACGUG
RNAcentral lists this ribosomal RNA (497 nucleotides) under uncultured bacterium. Its description in RNAcentral is "partial 16S ribosomal RNA". It matches the Rfam family "Bacterial small subunit ribosomal RNA", at positions 28 to 507 of the family's 1533-position model. The record is from RNAcentral.